AAUGACUAUACCUGUUUAAAGUGUAGAACGAACGUAGUGUAUUCCUAUUUUGACUCUAUAAUUAGGCAUGUUUAUUACCCUGACAUUGUCUUUGCUCAGACUAUGGUACUCUAGUUGAUAAGCUAUUAAACCCUAUCACACGCAAAAUAUUGUGUCAGAAAUUGCAAAUUCUCAAAUCCCUUGCUUCAUAGGGAAAUUAAACACGCUUGCAGGGCUUUUGUAGUUGUUUUUAACACAAAAAAAUUAGGAGUGGUGAAUUGAUUUUCAGAGAGGAUGGUGGAAGAUGCAGCUGAGAAGAUGUGGACGAUGCAGUUGAGAAGAAUUAAAAAAACAGACACUGAGCCCUGCACACGCAAGAAGCAUUGGCAAAAAUAACAGAGGUAUAUGUAAAGAGCAUCAUUGACCGAGAUCCAUCGCGGCCAUUGGAUUAGAACACACUUGAAUGGUCUGAUGAGGAAGUUGAUGAACGGGUGGACAAUCUUUUGAAACUCAUAGAGAGAGGCCACAAGUUCUGGAGCUCAAUGUUUAAAGGUGGAGCUACGAAGAGCGAUGUCCAGAGAAUGAGGGAGGAUGCAAAAGCACGUGCUAAAGAAAAUAAGACAAGUAAACUACCGGUGAACACUGGCACUGUGGAGAUUGACAACACUGCAUCUGUUUUGUUUGAUAGAAUCAAGCCGGAGCUAGUGCGAAUUGAUGGGAAUGUCUCCUCAGCCAUGACAGCCGUAAAAGAUCUAGAAAGGAAACUAGACUUGAUACAUGGGUCAAUUUUUGCAGAACCUGGAGGUUGAUUGAGAAAAAGAAAGAAGAUUUUAGUGAUGUGCUUGUCUUUAAAACUGGAUAUAUGGUUUUAGUGAUGGUUAAUAGAUGGUUAAACCGGUUAGUUUGGGUAGAAACCAAAUUUUCUGAUUUAAACCAGAUUUUGCACUUGAAAACGAGAAAGUUUUGUUUGAAACCCAAUUGUGUUGAUGUUGUUGAAGUGGAACCAUUCACUGGGAUUCACUGAUAACCGCAAUGUUGUUGAUGUUAAACCAUUCACUGGGAGGAUUAGAAGGUUGUCGAGCUAUCAGUUCUGACUAUGUGGCCAUAGAAGCCAAGGUUGUAGCUGUUAUGGCAUAUGAAUUCCACCAUACCUUGUAUGUUGUGAAUUGCGACCUGUCUUACUCUACUCAAGUGUGAUAAAAUUUGUGUUUGUUUGAAGUUGUUGUGUGUUUAUCUGUUUCUGUGUGCUAAGACUUUGGGUGUGUUAUGACUUUGUCGAAAACUGACUUUAUGUUU
Brassica napus (rape) is the source of this 1275-nucleotide long non-coding RNA. RefSeq lists it as uncharacterized. Lineage: Eukaryota; Viridiplantae; Streptophyta; Magnoliopsida; Brassicales; Brassicaceae. The record is from RefSeq and is a predicted model, not a curated record. The transcript has 2 exons.